Molecule: long non-coding RNA, 270 nt
Filed under: Mytilus galloprovincialis (Mediterranean mussel)
Lineage: Eukaryota; Metazoa; Mollusca; Bivalvia; Mytilida; Mytilidae
Source: RNAcentral
AUGAUAUGAUCUUUCUAAUUUUAAUGCAAAAUUAGAGUUUUGACCCCAAUUUCAUGGUCCACUAACAUAAACAAUGAUAGUGCGAGUGGAGCAUCCGUGUACUAUGGACACAUUUUUGUUGAAUUUUCUAUGUAGUUCGAUAUUUUUGCUAUUUUUCUUUUUUCUUAUCACAGAUACGAGAGGAACACACGAGUCUGUGUGUUGUUUAUUAUUUAGCACUUUCCUACCGAUGAAUUAAGUUUGUAUGAAUGUUUGAAAUAUGUAAACGCC